RNA transcript from Triticum dicoccoides, 1712 nucleotides. RefSeq lists it as uncharacterized. Lineage: Eukaryota; Viridiplantae; Streptophyta; Magnoliopsida; Poales; Poaceae. The transcript is spliced from 6 exons. The record is from RefSeq and is a predicted model, not a curated record.
CCCUCCCACUCUCCCCUCCUCUCCCUCUCUCCCACGCAUCUCACCCGCCGCCGCCCAAGCACCCCGCCGCCACCCUCUUCCCUUCUCGAUCUCGAUCCGCUGACGCGGCGUGAAUAUCCGUCGUCCUCGAGCUGGCUACUCCGCCACAUCCCCGCAGCGGCAGAGGAGGAGUCAGGGGUGGAGCUCCCAUUCGGCGGCAGCCGCAGCCAUCCCUCAAUGCGCCCCGAAACCCUAAGCCCGCGGCAUGGCGACCGAGCUCAAUACCCCUCUCCAUCCUGCACACGUCUAGUUUUGGGGCCAUGGAGGAGCAGCUGCUCCCAUCGGAUCUGGGGAAGGAGGACGCUCACCACCACCACGCUGCUCAACCUCACCGCCAUGAUUAUGUUGCCAAGACCACCAUAUGGUGGAGUCCUCUUCCACUCCGACGACUCCCACUGGUGGCCUCGGUUCUGCUUCCUCCCUGACAUUAGGCGCGCAAAAUCUAUCAAGUUCAUGUACUCAAUUACAACUGUCAUGUCGUGACUGUGGUGUCUGGACUUCUUGCACAAGCGCAGCCUCUAACCUAGCAUUUGGGCGCCAGAGAGAUGGUGGCUGGAGAUAUUUGAUUAACCGAUUCAGGCAUCUGCGAAUGCUUCUGGUUUCAUAUAGCCCUUGAUGAUUUGGACGGGACCCAGGGAGCCGAAGUUUGCUCUGGUAACCGAUACAAUCAAGAUUCUAAAGGCUUGGUCAGUAAGGAAGAGGACAGUGGCGACUCUCAUGGUAAGCUGGCAGGCAACGACUCUCGUGGUUACACCCCCGGGGAUGGUGUGCCCAGUGACCUCAUUUUUCCAUGGUUGCUCAUUUUGCUUCGUUACUAAGCAGACUUCAAGGUUGCAAAUCUUGAAUGCUGUUUAUGUUAUUUCUUUGUGUGUUCUUACUCUUAGGUAUGCACUAGCUUAGCAUUUAUGUUAUUGAUAGACUAGCAGCAACAUUGUGUGUUCUCCUUGCUGGUGUGAUCGCCGACGUGAGAGCUGGCCUGAAUAGCUUCGCCAGCAAGAAGAAAACCGAGAGAGAAGAGAGAGUGAGAGUGGAAAGUUCAGAAAUGUUCGGACGUUUUCAGUCUGCUCCAUUUACGAUGUUCAGUCAUUUACAAUAGCUUGCACAAUGUUCUGGUCUGGCAAAUGUUUUUAGAUGUGCAAAAGGGUGGUAGGUUUUUAGGCAUUUUCUUGGCGUAAAUAUUGAUCGUCAAACAGUUCUGUAUGUAGAAUCAUAUGCUAUUAAUGUCAUUCUACCACCAACAAAUUACUCACCUGACAUUUUUGCUCUGUGAAUGAAAUAAAAACGCAUCACUUACGAUUUAUUGCCUGCAAUUCCGAUUUCUGUUCUAGGCUUGGUUGAGUUCUGCUUUAUUUUCUAAGAAAUUAUGUGUUGGAUUUGGCACGGAGCUACUGCAUCGUUUUGUUUUGGCACUUGGUUCUUCGUCAAUGCUGAGCUAUUGUAAGUGAAUCUAUUUAUUUGUGCCUUACAAGUGCUCAACUGAUUGAUGGUAACGCUAUGCUACGUAAUUUGCUCUUCAUGAACGGUUAGCCCUAUUUUGAUAAACAUCGUUAUCACACAUUUUAGUUGCAUCAUAAUAAUCUUCUUCUUCUAACUUUCUUCUUUCCCAUUUUACAGAUUUGCUUAAGAUCACGGAAGCUUGGGUUGAUGGAGUGCUUGUAUUUAGUUUUUGUUUU